Molecule: long non-coding RNA, 3137 nt
Filed under: Mus musculus (house mouse)
Lineage: Eukaryota; Metazoa; Chordata; Mammalia; Rodentia; Muridae
Description: long non-coding RNA chr17:78025424-78028561
Source: RNAcentral
GCUUGCUUUUCCUCCUCUCCUUGCACAGAGCUCUAUAAUAAAUGAAGAGUGUGCAAUUAUGCCUGGGGGUUCCCAUCUGCUUACGAUUACCUCUCUGCGCUUGCCCACAGGAAGACACUGGGAAGUCACCGAAAAGAAGGGCGAUUUCUUAGCCACCCAUUUAGAAGAAUGUCAGCUGCCCUAGCAUGAUUUACAGCGUGAGCACGAGGAUCUGAAAAAAGAAAAAAAAAAAAAAAAGGCUACCAGCCCCACUGCUCUACUGCAUUCUGGAAACUUCUGAGUUAUUUUUAUUGAAAGAGCGUGCUCAUCUAAACGUGGAGCUUCUGCCCAGCAUCUGAACAAUUCUCUGCGUGUCACGCUAACCUAAGAAUGGAUAAAUUGGAUCCCAUCAUAUUAACAAACACUGAUCUGUUCUGACACCACUGAGGAGAAAGUUUGAGUGCAGGGACUGGUAUAAACGGCCCUGGGCAUACGAGAAGCUGAUCUUUUCAGAGAAAAGCUGCCUGAGAAAAAGCUCAUCUCCCCUAAAGCUGCCCAUGCAUGCGGAAGAGGGGCAUCAUAAGCUCAAAUCCCAAGGAAAAUGGCCCAGGUUAAGUGGUAAAAAUGUAUUUGAUCGAGUUAUAUGGGCAAGUAGAUGCUGGGGUGUGGGAGGCCUAGAGGGAAGAAAGGGCAGGGCUAAUGGGGAUGUUCAGGAAAGUCACAUUGCUGGGGUUGCAGAUAACCUUGGAAUGUCUUGUGUUAAAGGCUGAAUCUAUUCAAAGAUUGGUAGAUGGAAGCGGCUGCCAUCAGUGAGAAACCCUGCCCUAGUAGGGCUGAGUCUAAAUUGACUCAAGCGGAUGCACAGAGGCAUCCUGUAACUGUCAGGUGCUUUAGACUCUUCCCAGCCAGUUCAACAUUAUAGUCAAUAAUGUAUAUUCAACAUUUGCCUUUUAGCUUCUCUUUACUGAUCAGAUCCUGGCUAAAACAGGUGAAAAUUUCUUAAGAAAACUCCUGACAAAAUAAAAGUUUUCUUCCAUCUACAUAAUAAUUGUGUUCCUAAGAAAUUCAGUGGUUAUAAAAUGGUAUGAAAGUAAAAAUCUUGUGUAUUUGUAUGUAGAAUAAAAAAAACUAUAAUAUUUUCCAAUGCCUAUAGAUACCAUUCAGAGCUGAACAGCUAUACACAUGCCUGGCAAUUGUACCUAGCAUAACUCUGUCUGUGGUGGGGAACAACAGUUCUACCCACUACCGUGUGAUCACAAUUGCUUGUAUUAUCUCUAUGUGCCACAAAUUCUAACCUGUGUGUGACACUGUUGUGUGCAAUAGAAGAUGACCCUUCACUUUGUUGAACUAUCCCACCGAUGCAUUGAGCAUCCCUGGCCUCAACUAAUUUUGACAGUACCAUGCUCAAUCAUUUUGACAACCCAAAACACACCACAGAACAACCUACUUUGUAUCUGAGAACAAUUCAUUCACAUCUUAUGCCUCUGAUCUCUGUAUUAUUUAUUAUCACCAUUUUUAUUGUGCUAAUAAUACUUAAUAUAAGAACUACAUGUUUGAAAAGAUUUUUAAUAUCUUGGUUUCCUUAAGUUUUGAGAGUUUCAAAUAUUAAAUUUUUGUUUUAUUUUGCUUUUAUAUCUUGAAAUAUAGUACAGUUACGUCAUUUUCUCUCUUUCCUAUCUUGACUCCAAGCCCUGCCAUCACCCAUCUCAAAUUCAAAUUCAUUUUCUUUGUUAUUGUUACACACACAUGCUCACACACAUAUCCAUAGAUAAAUAAAUUGCUACAUAUGUUUUGUGUUACUUAUAUGCCUAUAAUUUCGGAACAAACCAACUUGUACUGGAUAACCAAUUAGGAAGCUCCUCUCUGGGGAAAACUCUUUCUCUUCUCAGCAUUUCUUAUUUUCCUGGAGUUCUUAAUGAUGGUGGCUUGUGUGUUUUGAUUAUAUUUAUGAUCUUCCCCAUUUCCUCCCAGAAUCAUUCCCAUUCAAUACCCAAACGAUCGUGUGUCCUCAGUCAUCAUUUUAAAAUACACCAAAUACAAUUCCUUCUGCCUGCAUAAUCUCAGCUGUGUGACCAUCCACUGGAGAGUGCUCCACCUAAGAAGAGCCACACCUCUAAAGAAAAGUGACUCUCCUUUCUGAGCAGCUAUCAACCACUCACUGCUCCACAGCUAAAGGUCAGACUUUACACCCACCUCCCCAUUUUGAUGCUGGGAUUUUGUCUCUUUGGAGCUUCCAUGGGACCCAUGCAUGCUGCCACACUGCAUUGAGUUCAUAUGUGCAGCUGCCCUGUGGUUUCUGGAAAGCCCUCUUUUCUUGAAGUUAUCCAACAUCUCCAACCCUUGCAGUCUUCCAGCCCCAACUUCUGAAAUGAUACUUUACUCUCUAAAUGAAUGAAUAUGAUGUAGAUGUCCCCUUGAGGACUGAGUACUCUACAGUAACAUGUCCUCUCCAUCUUUAACAUUUGUUGGUCUCUUUGUUAGUCACCACCUACUGCCAAGAGAAGCUUCCCUGAUAAAUGUUUACUAGAUGCACAAAUCUGUGGCUUUGAUGAAAAGCUGUUAGAAGAUGGCUUCAUCCUAUGUCUCACUAAUUAGUAAUAGUAUUAAGUUCUAACCUAAACUUUAUGACACAUCUAUCCAUAGGUUCUUGGACCCAAUAAAUAAUCAGGUAUGGGUUUUAUCUUAUUGAGCAGCCCAGGAAGUGGCUGAUUACUCCCAUGGCAUUUAUGCUAAUAUUCUGCCAAUAGGAACUUGCUGUGUAGGCCAUUAUUGUACCUUACAGGACUUAUUGAUGUAUAAUAUCUGUGAUUGCUUUUCUUCUCCAGUAGAAUGCUUGGUGCUUCCCUCAAUAUAAAAGCUACCAGCAGGGAUGACACUUCUGGGUCAAUACCAACUUGAUUCUAUGCCGGGAACCAUGACCUCAUCCAUGGCCUUGUGGAUAUUUUCUACCUUACAGAAACAAUCCUGAGAGAACAUUCGUGGUCAUAACAGUAAGAAUGUUUAUGGGGAAAGAGGACACUGUGACCGUUGGUUCCAGGAGCUGAAGAUUGCCACCUGACCUUCAGAGAGCCCCCGGGCUCUUCCCCCCAUCCUCGGAGCCUUCUCUUGCUUAUGCUUAUAUUGCCACUCCUGAAUAAAGUUUUCAGAGCUUGAUCAGU